ACACCUAAAAACUUUCCACGUGAACCGUUUCAAACCAAAUAGUUGGGGGUCUUGUCUGGUGGCGGCUGCUGGCUUUAUUGUUGGUGGCUGCUGCUGGGUGAGCCCUAUCAUGGCGAGNGUUUGGGCUUCGGCCUGAGCUAGUAGCUUUUCUUUUAAACCCAUUCCUUAAUACUGAUUAUACUGUGGGGACGAAAGUCCUUGCUUUUAACUAGAUAGCAACUUUCA
This 225-nucleotide unclassified non-coding RNA is filed under the name Phytophthora idaei. RNAcentral describes it as "partial ITS1". Lineage: Eukaryota; Oomycota; Peronosporomycetes; Peronosporales; Peronosporaceae. The record is from RNAcentral.